GAGGGUAUAGUUUAGUGGUAGAGUGUGUACUUCUCAUUCACAGGGCCUUGGGUUCAAUCCCCAGUACUUCCA
Transfer RNA from Camelus ferus (Wild Bactrian camel), 72 nucleotides. It matches the Rfam family "tRNA". From Rfam's summary of the family: Transfer RNA (tRNA) molecules are approximately 80 nucleotides in length. NCBI's taxonomy places the organism in Eukaryota, Metazoa, Chordata, Mammalia, Artiodactyla, Camelidae. The record is from Rfam.